RNAcentral lists this long non-coding RNA (16330 nucleotides) under Hordeum vulgare. Its description in RNAcentral is "long non-coding RNA (HVUL_LNC016129)". The stretch from base 2491 to 2614 matches the Rfam family "MIR1120/MIR1122 microRNA precursor family". Lineage: Eukaryota; Viridiplantae; Streptophyta; Magnoliopsida; Poales; Poaceae. The record is from RNAcentral.
ACAGGCCGGCCGUCGUUUUUGCGUCAUCGUAUGCCGUACAACUACCCCGCAAUUCUGUGUUCAUGCCGCUCUCUGCAAGUUUCCAUUUCUGGGAGGCUAGAGCGUACGGCGCCGCGCGCGUGGGUACGCUUUCCCGCACGGAUUCCCUCCCUUUUUCCCUCGGUACGAAGAUGCUCCCUUUUGCUUUGAUAAAUUCUCUCAUCUUUUCCAAGGGAUUUUACCGUUACCCGCUGCUGCUCACUCCGGCCUUGGGAAGGUAAAAAGGCAUUUACUGCGGCGCCGCUGAUUGAUUCAGCUUUGGCUGGUUCCAAGAAUCUGGAUCUUGGAGAAACCAGGUAAAAAAAAAAAAACAUAGCGGAAUCGCAUGGAUCUCCGUAAUUUUUUGUCAGAUCCACUACAGUAUCACAUGUUUUGAUUAUCACUGCUUUCGCUUAUGUUAGUCUGGAAUGUUCAUGGCAGAUCAACCUACUGAGAAUAGGCCGGCGAUGGAAGAUGUAGAGGCAAAUGCGCGCAUGGAUCGAUAACUCAGAUCUGCUUACCACUUGACUCUUUGCUUGCCAGGUAAUUGCAGAUUUCUCGCGCAGCGCUGCGCUACAUGCUGUCCCGAUGUUCUUCAAUUUCUUACACGUGGCGUCGCUGUCCAAAGUAAUUGCUUGGUGUAACAUAUUUGUCUCCUAUAGCCAGCUGCUUGCUGCUGGAGUAAAGGGUAUGGACUGCUACCUAGGUCAUUGUCGGUCACGUCACUGUUCCAUUGGUGACGUCUCGUGCUUAUCUUCUGGAAGAAAAGCGGCCGCGCGUAGGCUAGAUUCUUCCUCUGAACACAUGUGUGGAGCUGGAUCCACCGAUCAGUUGAUUUUUGCCGAGUUUUCGGUUUGUGGAGAUACACUUUGCCGUGUUUACUGCAUAAUUUGUUUAGGAAAUUAGCCAUGAAUUAGUCUAAUGCGGAUCAACUAAAGCCCAAAAUAAGAAAAAAUAACGUGAAAACAAGAAUACAAGAAUUCCCGAGCCUUGGGAUAGAUCUAGAAAUGUCCCUCUAUCGCUCAAGGAUUUACUUUUGCUUGAUGUUUGAUCAUAGAGGCGAUAAUUCAAAAGGGUCACUAUGCAAGAAAUAGAGAUCAAUGGUAACGACAUUAGAUUAUUCUUGAAAGGCAAAAUAUAGAUCAAAGGGAACGCUAAAAUGUUACUUCCUCCGUUUCACAAUAUAAGAGCGUUUUUGACACCCUAGCGUAAACAAUGCUCUUAUAUUAUGGGACAGAUGAGGUAUUUUUUUUCAACAUAUAAUGCAGUUCUUUCUACAGAACAUAUUGAAAACAAUAAGUAAUAAUGAUUGUACAUGAAUAUAUUUUUUGAGAAAUGAGAAAAACAAUACAAACAUAGACACUCACAACUUGUACGCAUCCUCUCCCUGCUGAAUGCAUGCCGGGACACCCAGCAUGAGAUAUUUUAGGAUUAACGAUUUAAUCACAAGCACCUCAUAGUUGACGGACUGGUCAUUCCAAUGAGAAACAAUAUAAUUCUUCCACCUCAAAAGGAAACUACAUUUUUCCAGUAGUUAAAUGCAAAUUUUUUCUGUUAAAAUGCAUCAUUUUACUCAUCUAUUUCUUAGUUUGUCGUUAAUUUAUUAAGAACCAUUCUGUGCUACCCUAUACUCGUGUAUUUGUUCGCAAUAUGACAUAGUUCCCAUCUAAUAUGAAAGCUUGAUUGUUUCUUCUAUUCACUUUGUUUUAUAUCUGUAGUAUAUAUCCCUCCAAGUCGCCACGUAAUUAAGUCCUUGCGCAAAAGAAAUAGCUAUGUGGGUACCAUGCCAAUAUGCCACCUUUGAAUUAUUCAACAAAAAAAAAAUUAUCAUUACAAACAAAUAUUCCUACUCAUUGUCUUCUAUGUCACAUUAUUCAUAAACUAUGGAGCCACCUCAUGGUGGAGGUGGACAGUAGAGUUGUGGGACUUGACACUGCCCAUGCCGCUGCUCACAUUUACACACACGUCCAUUCGCGGGAUUAACCCUGGUCUGCGUUAUUCUAGUGUGACUGGAGACACGGUAUGGCGUGUGUGUUUGUUGUGCUGGCCAGACCGGCUUGUGUAAUGGUGUUCUGUUUAUACGUCUUUCCUCGCUUAGGAAUAUCUGGUAUACUAGCACUCUUGCACACAGGACAACAUGCGAAAUUAAGGGACUCUUUGAUUCACAGGAUUCUAAAAACACGGAGAUAGAGAAAACAUAGAAUUGGAAUUUCAUAGUCAUCUCAAUCCUACAUGAUUUUAGACUGUUUCAUUGUAUUAUAUAGGAAAAACAAAGGUUUCUUUCAAAUAGGCUUGAGUGGAUGCUUGAAAUCAUAUGGUAAGUAGUAGUGAGAGAUCCUAUGAAUCAAACAACCAACAUAGAAAAAAUAUCUUCUAAUCCUUCAAAAUUUAUAUGGAAAUCCUUGUUAUUAAAGGCCGUUGAGAUUGGAUAGUGGGGAGGUACGGACCUUGCGAGUAAUCGCAUAGGUUAGUAUCAUACUCCCUCCGUCCGGAAAUACUUGUCCUAUAAAUAUAUAAAAUGGAUGUAUCUAUAACUAAAAUAAGUCUAGAUACAUCUACUUUUAGGACAAGUAUUUCGGAACGAAGGGAGUAUUAUAGUAGCCUAUGAUACUUACUCCUAAAUAUAUACACUAUUGUAAUGGUUGUAUUUCCGAGCAUGCAUGGCUAACAAUAAAGCCGGCAACUCGGUUUAUCUCAUUCUCACAUUAUUUAUAGUCAAUUUAAUAAUCAACUGAAAACUAUAUUUAUAACACCAUGUGCUGUACGAACAGCUCAAAUGUUAGUUGUUUGAUGAGGCCAAUCCGAUGGUAGAGAUGUGGCAAUCUGAGCACGCACUAGUAGAAAAAAGGUCUAUAGCUUUGGUUCGGUUGAUAAUCAACUAGGACUAAUGCUAGCCCCGUUCGGUCCUAAACUGGGGCUAAUCGGGGCUAAUGACCUUUCACGUGGUGGGGCUGGAAGCGAGGGGGGAAGGGGUAUUAGUACUGGUUCGUAUUAUGAACCGGGGCUAUUUUUUCGCUGCUUUUUUUAAGCACUUUUAGGGUUUAGGGUUUUGUAUUAAAUUGGAUGCGGCUAUUUUGCUGCCUCCUAUUUUUUCAUUUAUUUGUUUUGGGCAUUUUUUAAUUCUUGUUUUACAUUAAAUUGGAUGGUACAUACACAACAAUAAAGGGACGACUAUAUUGCACAUCAUCGCCACGAAUAUAUUACAUCAUCUCAUUCGUCGUGCUUUGUUGAACAUAUUACAAAAUGUAGACACGAGUUACAUGCACAUAUAUGCGUGUUUUUAUACUAUAUCAUUUCAUAUCAAUUGCAUCAACGGGCAAUAGUAUUCUUCCUUGACAUUUACGACCUCUGCAUCUAAGAAUCCGAUAAUUUUCUCUUCAAUUGCUCGUACAUGUUCCUGUAGUAGAAGACCGUCCUGUAACCGUUUGAUCUAAUUUAAAGAAGGGGUAGAUAUAUAUAUCAAGGAAAACGAACACAAUUCACGGUAAUAAAAUGAAGUUGUGAGUAUUAUUUAUCGUACUUCCUUUUUUAUGUUCCAGUUUUUGCCUAUCUCAUGGGUCGUCUUGUGAAUGAACUCGCAAAGAUAGUAUCCACGUAAAUUGUUCUCGUCUUCCUCCCUCAAGCAUUUUACGAGAAAAGAGUUCAAUCAAAAACAUAAUCAAGAAUUAUAAUGAUAUUAAAACUAGAAUAAAGAUAUGUGCGGACUAGCUAGUAGUUACUUACAUCUAUUUUUUUAAAUGUAAGCUCCGACUUCCAAAUGCCUCGAGCUUUGGCGGUGAACCGUUACCAAGCCCUGUCAGGAAAAGAAAAUGAAUAAAGGAGUUCUAUAUUAAUUCCUUGCUAUCGGGAAAUGAACGAGAAGUUGCCGAUAGUGUCAUAAUGAUUGAAAUUAUCUUUGGAGGCAUUUCUGCAUGUUCGCCCGUUCAUUGAGGGGUGUGCGUUCCGGGUACAUGACUAUUACUUGUCCCUCGUCAGGUACAAUGAUUACCAAAAUAAAGUGGAACCUGCGCACGCAUAACGAAUCAAUUAUACACUUAUAAUAACAUCGAGUAAGCAAAAAUAAAAUGUGUGUAGUAACACUCACUUGAAGUUGUAAGGAAAUAGUAUUUCCCUUUUGGUACCAGAAAACCUUAACCCUUGUAUCAAGUUACUCUGUCUCGCGUGGCUUCGUUGCGAGACUUUGGUGAUGAAUGUAAUAUGGGUCAGUGAACCCAUUGUCAUAGAGUUGUCCUCUUUUGCAUUCGAAAAUCUUCAUUCUGCAAAAUUAAUAUAGUGAUGAGUAAGAUUAUACUGCAAAAACAAGCUGAGUAAGACUUAAUGACAUAAAUUAAUAAUACUUACAAACAAUAGGCAGUGAUGAUAGAUUUUUCGAGGGCGUCUUGUUUGUACAACUGAAAUAAUUCAUCGAAUUCAAUCAUUAGCAUGCCUUGUCCAGUCCUGAAAUGCUCGUCUUUAUAUGCAAGGUAGAUCCAGUUUUGCUGUUCAGCACAUGGUUGCAUGUACCAGUCAUGCAAUCUUCGUAUUUUUGUUGUUACCUCGUUGACUAACUCAGGUUUGACGAGAGGAGCCCUGUACUAGUACACGCAUGUUAUGUCUGCGAAUUCUGCAAAUGGUUUAAGUACUCAUCAAUAGACAUGCCUUGAGCCUUGGCGCUUCUCUGUAUAAUGCAACAAACUCCGGAUCGAUACCAGCUGUUUUCAUCAUUCCUCCGCUCAACCGCAGCUCCGCUCGAGCACAUCUUUGUAUUGGAAUACACUUUGAGCGGGGGAACGAUUGGUUUUUUGUUGUCCGAGCUGGGCAACUGAUUUUCCGCUGGACGUACUACUCUUCAACCUCUGCUUUUUUGCCUGAGCCGACUUGAGAAUAGAGCGUUCAUAGUCUGCUGGCAACGGUGGCGAGGGAUCUGCAAGGGUUUUCAGCAUUUUCACGCAAGCAUCGUGAUCUUCUGGGGUGGCCGGGAACUCUGCCUCUUCCGGCUUCUUCUUGUUAGCCGUCUCAAUCUUCCAAUGUUGAUGCUGGGCGUCUGCCCUCUUAAUAUUGUCCUCUCCAGUAUAGUCCCAAGGUCUCUUAUCCAUAUGCUUAUGAGGUACUUUUGAGAGGAGCGACAACUUAUGUUUCGGUGAUCGAAACCCCUUUCUGCCGCCACUAUUAGCGGUGGUACGUUUCAGCUUUUUUCCCCUGAUCCUUAGUGGACGGAGAUGGCUGACGGGGCGGUGGAGACGGCUGAUGCGGCGGUGGAGACGACUGCGCUGGAGACUGGUGACGCGACGAAGACAACGAUUGCGCUAGACACUGGUGAGGUGGAGGAGAAGAAGAAUUGCUGCUAUGAGGAGUCGGUGGCCUUGGCAUCCAAUUUGGAAGCAAGAUGUCCUGCUUUGGCCAUACAACAGUUUGUUUCUUGACUUCUCCAAGUUGAGUCAAAUCCCUAUCUUCACCUGCAGGGUGGUCGAGCUUCAGCUCCUCAUAACCGUUGAUCAUUUCAUCCACCGCGACGACAACGCACCCUUCUGGAACCGGAGAGCAAUGCCAAGUUGGAUUAUGUCCAAUUGGUAUGGCCAUGCCGACCGCCACCGUCAACCUUAAGUUAGUAAAUUUCACCUUUAGCUCACAAGGUGUGCUCUCUGUGAUAUCAGCCACUUGGUAGAGACGAGGAGGAUCCGUCGUCAGUGCAUCAUCACCAUCAUCCUGGAGCUGCGUGGAAGCGACGUUGAUUUUCCGAUUUGAUGCAGCUUCUAUCAUGAGCCGCUGAGAUUGGCCGCUACCUUGCUGUCUGUCGAUUUGAUCCUGCUGCAGCCGCUUUACUGUUUCUUCUAGAUUAUGCAGCCGAUCAGCCUCAGUCGCUUUAUCACGUGUCUCUUUUUCAUUUCUCCUCUGAUGGCUUCUAUCGGGAAAUCUCUUCCUUUCCUCGAAAAACGCAAGCAUCCACGACGGGGAGCCUGGUACGCCUCGUGCUCGCCCUUUGUGUUCCUUAUUCCCAAGGGUGCGUGUGAGCUCGUCCUUCUCUCGAUCGGGAACGAUCCGUCCCUCUUCAACAUCUUGUACUGCACGUCUAAUGUCCUCGAUGGAUAGGGGAUUAUCUUUGUGUCUUUUGUUAUAUAUUGCCUUCCCUUCUUUGUCCAACAAGCCCCCAUGCACGUAAAAUCAGUUUCUUCCCCGUUCGAGCCAUCUUAAGGGCUCUGGAGUUAUAUUUUUUUCCAUAAAUGAUGCCUCAAGUGCUUCUCACUUAGCCAUCUUACCGCCGUAGCCACCACGCCCCAUAAUAUGGUGGUACUUCCUCUUACCUGCAUUCAUCUUAUUUGUUGCACACUUUUUCAAGGCGUCCUCCGAUUUCUUGUAUGCCACAAAUUCGGCCCAGUAGGCUUUUAUCUUCUCAUAGCCGUGAACGAAAUCUGGAGUCUUAUCUUUCAAGAUAAAUUCCUGGUGCAAUCUUUUUUUCUAGCCCGUGAAUAGAUCGGCCAUCUUCUUAAGAGCCCACUCCUUGACUUUUUUCUCUAGGGCCUCUUUUCGCAUCUUCAUUUCCUCCUCAUUUGGCUCCUCCUCAUCUAGAUCCACCUCUGGCGCCGACAGGGUGAAAUGAAGCAUGAGCUUUGUCCAAAGGUUUUCUUUGGCUGUUGUGCCGACAUAUGAGACAUCUUUCUCCCUUGGCUUAAUACAUUCUCGAGUGGUGAUAUGGAUGUGGUCCCUAACAACAACUCUGACGCUUUCACAAACUUCUGCUUUACAUCUGUAGGAGCAAUUGGUUGCCCGACAUUUGAGACUGUUUCGAUCCUGUAUCGCUCACCGUCAUCCAGCUUCUUGGUUGGGCCUCAUUUUGUCCGUACUGAAGUUUUGCUCGAUCUGGAGGGCUAAAUGUCAGGACCCCGAUCCUGAGUCAUAAGAACCUAGCCUGUAACACAUCACAUCACUUUGCGGCCUCACGCACGGUAAACUCCACGGCUGCCACCUUACCUUGGCCAGGACCAUUUACGUCUUUUGGCUCACGUAUAUGAAUAUGUUGCUAGCGUUCAUUCGACAAAGAACCCGGGUCGACAUGACUAGUUAUAAACCCCAGCGGUACAACCGUACAGGGACAGGCAUACAUAACCAAGCAAAGGAGGUGUCGGUCAUCAGCGUGUGUAGACGAGUCGUAGCAAGCUACAAGGACUCCAUUACAUCGCGUGACAUUUCCCCGAGGGGACAGACACAGCAGCAAAGAAGGAUACAUGCCGGUCAAUCAACGUGUUCCGAGCAGUAGCAAGCUACCAAGGCUCGAUGGAAGCACAAAGAGGCAUUUCCCUGUAAAGAGUACUACUAAAGGCAAACAACUAGGUGUCGAAUCCCACACAUAUAAUGCAUUUCAAACAUACAAACAUUAUGCACGAUAUGUGUAGAUACAACAUGGCAUCACAACAUAACUCUAUGACUCAAGCAUUUAUUAAAGACUCAUAAGAGUCAACAUAAUAUGAUAUUACAAACAGGGGUCUCGUGACCCGACACUCAAGUCAUACAAACAACAAGCGGAAGCAAUUCAUGUCUGGGUACAGACAUCUACUAAAAGUGGCUGGAAGAGCCUGAAAAGCUACUACGACCCUACCAAAGGAGCCAGACCUCUGUCUGGGAUUCCCAAGCUAUUCCGGUCAACACCGAACACGUCGCGUAGAAACCUUAAUGAGACUAAAUCUUCUCUGCAAAACAUAAAUAAAGCAACCGUGAGUACAAAGGUACUCAGCAAGACUUACAUCAGAACUAUCAACAUAUGCAUCAUGUUUCAAUGGAAGGAUUGUGUGGUUUGAUUGCAGCAAGCCAGCUUUGACUCUUGGCUAACCUGUACUACGACUAUAAGUUCUUUCUUUGAGGUGGGAUAGCGCACACGAGUCCACAUAUUCACCAAUUCAAUACCCUACUAUGGAUUCACUCUCGUCUCCCUACGAGAAGGCCUUCCAUAGCACUCACACUUAUCUUGCAUGUUUUAGAGUAUCCAUUUAAAUUGUCUAUGUACCACGUAAUGUUUCCAAGUAGUCCAUAACCGAGGACGCGGCUAUUCGAACAGAUUGAAUCACCCUGCAGGGGUAUACUUCUUCACACAUGCUCCCACCACUUAGCACCAUAUGCUCGUCAUGCAUCUCGGCAACCUUCAAGCGGAAGCACUGGCGUGGGUGUCGGCCACGACCGUUAACCACACAAGACCCUAGUCCAGGUUUAUCGCCUAUUUGAGACUGAACCCGCAAGGAAGUCGGGCCGAGGUUUCCUCUACGGCCCCAAACGAUGCGCGCAGGGUUCCCAAGCCCACCAUUCGGGUGCCACUUGGUACACCGUGCCACUGUGUAUCUACCGUAGUGAAGCCUACCCCGUCGGGCAGAGCUAAACACGGCCGCCAACACUUUUCGUACAAACACCAGAAACUAAUUGCAACUCCUGGACAGAGAUCUAGGCAAUUAAUAAGCUGAGCGGGGUCAUAUUUCAGGGCCCAAUGCAUGGUAGUAUCUUGUCUUGGAUAACAUACACAGAACUCAGUUCUUAAGGACGGUCCCAAUGAGAGAACCCGCCAUGUACUCCUACAUGGCCUCUCAUCGCUAUCUUUACCAAAUCAGAUUCACACCUUUACUCUCACACUGUAGAACAUGAUCACAACCAUUCCGAUUCAUCAUCCAGAUGGAUCAGACCCGACACGACUCUAAGCAUAGCAGGCAUUGUAAACAAGCAUGGAUGAGUAAGCACAACAAGGCUCAAGCAGUUGCUACUCAUGCUAAGUGGUUUCAACUAUUUACUGUGACAAAAUCAGGUCAUGCAGAGGAAUGGGUUCAACUACCGAUAACAUGCACAGUUGAAUCGUGUUUGUCCUAAUGCAGUAAAAGAGAGCAGGAGCGAGAGAGUGGGUUUAUUUCAAUAUGCUCAAGGGGGGUUUGCUUGCCUGACACGUCUGAAGAUAGCAAUGAGUGUUCAUCAAUGUCAACGAUCACAUCGUCGGAAACAUCGUUUAGCGAGGGGGAACAACACCGGCAAACAAGAAAGAACAACAAUUACUUCACGGAAAUGCAACACUAUGAUGCAUGCUCAAGACAUGAAAUGAAAGGUGGAAGGGCUAAUGUGGCUAUCAUUUCUUAAGGUGCAGCUGGGUUUGAAUUAGGAUCCAAACAUCACUUCAAGCCGGGUAUUUCCCCGGGUAGCCUUUUAAUUGAUUUGACCUGAUGCUCAUAACAAAUUAUUCCAACAUGUAUGGAGUUAGUAUUUUGAGGUACUGAUUUGCAUUGACUAAUGUUGAGCAUAGUAAUUGAAGUGGAAUUAAAAUAAGUAUCAAUUUCCAACUCCAAACUAUUUAUUAAACUUACCCUAUUCAUCAUUUUGCCUAUUUGGUGUUGUUAACUUUUUCAAACAUACAUGAAAAUGCCAUAAUCAGAUUCCUUGGAUUUUUCUGAUACUUUUUUAUAUAUAAAUUAUUUUCAUCCGAGUUAUAUUUUAAUUUCUAUGAUUUUUGCAAGUCUUAGGCAUUUUCUGGAAUAAUUUUAUAAACAGAAAAUACUAUUAUUGCAUCACCACUGACGUCAGCAGGUCAACUGGCCGGCUAGGUCAAACCUGACAGCCAGGGCCCACUAGUGAGUGACACAAGUUUUAAAAAGAGUUUAAUUUUAAUCUUUUAUUCCUAAUUAGGGUCUGGGCCCACUAGUCAGUGAGUCUUUAGGUUUAAUUAAUCUGAUUAGUUAGUUUUUGUGAUUGACUUAAUUUAAACAGGACUGGGCCCCACCUGUCUGUGACUCAGGGGAGUCAAACCCUUGGUCGACAGGGUCAGUCCCACCAGCGGCUCGACGCCGGUGAGGUCCGAGAUGGCGGAGGUGAUCGGAAAUCACCCUCCGGCGACCAUGCGAGCGGCAGAAGCUACCUACAUGGAGAUGGGACUCGCCCGCAUCCAUUCCAGCCGAUUUGGAGCUCUGAGGUGGCCUGGAGCAACGGAGGCGACGAGCGGGGCGGUCGCCGGAGUUCGGCCACGGUGGGGAUCGAGGCCACGGGGCACGGAAGAGUGAGUAGAAGAUGGCUACGGCUUCCUGCGGGCGUGGAGACCACAGGGAGGUGCUCGGCAGCGGCCCUAGGUGGCUCUAGCCACGACGGCGCCAUGGCCGGCGGCAGGAGCUUCGAACUCCGGUGGCACGGGGUGCUAGGAGAGGGGAACGGCGAUGAGGCAAGGGGGAAACGGAUCCGGAGCUCACAGGGAUUCGAUUGGAGCAGACGGCGAGCUCGGGGACACUUUGUUUGGCGCGAAUCGACGAGGAAGGUCCGGCGGCCGGAGGUGGAGAAGAUGGCGGUGAGGCGAUGACAGGGGGCCUCCGGGCUUGAUUCCUUCGGCAUGGAGGAGGUACUCGUCGUGGUGGAGAGAAUGGGCUGCUCAGGGGGCCUUCGCUGCGGUCGGAAAGACGCCGGUGAGCUCAAGCAGAGCUCGGCCAUGGCGGGAGGAAGAAGAGCAGAGGGGGAGAAGGAGGAAUGGAUGAGGCAGAGGGGUUCGAGGGAGGAGGAAAAGCAAGGCACGGGGGAGGCAUCACGCUGGCUAGGAUGGACAGGUAGGCAGGGAGGAGGUGGCGCCCUGGCGAGCUCGCCGUCCCCUGCUUCUCCUCUGCCUUCUGGGAAGAGGAGGGAGACGACAGGGGACCCCCCUGGUUGGUUGGGCCUGGAGUGGCGACAUGUAAGUUCUUCUCUGUCUUUUUCUUUUUCUGCUUUUAUUUCUUUCUGGCAUUUAGGUUUAGGUUUUAAAGUAAAAUGUUUAGAUAUUUUAUAAAACCCUAAAUUAGUGUUAUGUGACAGUGAUAAAAUUAAGCAAUGCCACAUAAUAGUUUCAACAUUUUUGAAACUCUAAAAUCGAAGGAAUCAAAUUAAUUCCAUUCCAAAUAGCUAUUUAGUCAAAUCAAAAAUCCAUUUCAAAAUGUUUCUGUGACUUCAAAUUUUGGUUUGACAAAUUUGUUUUAUGUCACUAUUUUACCAAGUAUUUGGAACAUUUUCUUAGUCCCUUUUAAGGUAUUAAUAUUUAUUGCCUUGUUGUCAAUUUUUCAAAUCAUUGGGGUUUUGAUCACUUCCCAAUUGUAGAUCAUCCCCAUUGUAUUAAGUUGAUUUGAAUGCAUGCAUGAAUGCUCACUGAUGCAACUAACUACAAACCACAAUCUAGGGGUGUGACACUAAAAUAAAGAGUUAAUAUAUGUAUAUAGCAGAGGGUUAAUUUAUUAAUAUAUAUAUGCACCUCGACGAAGCGGUCGACUUCUCCCUCGUCGGCUUCUUCCUCAUUGGAGCCGCCGAUUCCUCCCUCAUCCGAGGCGUGGGCGUCUACCUCACCGAAGCUUCUACCUGGUGUGUUGAGAGACUCAUCUCCCUCGUCGGACUCGUUCAGAAACUGAUUGGUGACAUCGACAUCGCAAACUAAAAUACCAUCCCCGCGGAUGACACCAUGCAUCACGUCUUCCUGAUAUUCGUCUCUGCCGUGUAUUGGAUCCAUAGUAUCUACAAAUUAAUUAAACAUAAGGAACUAAAUUAACUAACAACUAAAACUCCCGCUUAUAUACAUCGAAUAAUCCACUUAAUUAAUGCAUCAUCGAAUAAUCCACUUAAUAUUAUCGAAUAUAUAAUCUGGAAUACAUAAAUAAUACUUCUCUCGAAUACACUAAUACAUCGAAUAAUAUAUAACUGAUCAACCAACAAAGAGCCAUCGUUGUAAUGAGGCGCAGGCGGUGGACACCCAUGUGCAGGGACUAUCACCGGAUCAUAGCUCGGGUGAGAUCCCUGAAGAACUUGCCAGGUACUGGAGAACCUGGCAUCCAACGCCUUCAUGUAGCGACGGACGUGCUCGUCCUCCUCCCUGACACGGCAACGUACCUCCUCCUCGGGGGCUGGCAACCUAGGCACCGAAAGUGGCCCCCGCGAUCACCAUCAAAGAAGCUUCGGGUCGAUGACGGGAGCCCGGUUCCUCACCAAGGUGCGCGCCCCGGAAGGUAACUCCUCGCACUGCCAGCCCGGCGGAGCCCAGUCGACGACGAGGAUGCGGGUCGGGCAUCGUAUGUCCUACUAUUUAAAUUUCUACUAUUUAAUAAACUUUUCUAAACUUCUACUCCCUCCGUUCCAAAAUAUAAGACCUUUUAAAGAUUUCAUCAGAAAACUACAUACGGAGAAAAAUGAGUGAAUCUCAAAAUGAGUGAAUCUGUACUCUAAAAUAUGUCUAAUGGAUUCUCUUAACCUUUAAGGAAUUUAACAAAAUGGCGACGUUCUGGAUGUGUAGAAAAUUAUUUAUAUUUUUUCUGAUCUCAUCUAUCCUUCUAUAUGUCAUAUUGUCUACUGUCAAAGGAUCCAAGAAAACCAUGACUUCAUCUAACAUAAUAUUAAUAGGCGCAUGAUGCUAUGAAGCUUUACAAAUAUGUUUUGUAACAGAAUCCCGAAUAGGAUAAUUAGCUUUUUGGUACGCGGUUCAAAAAGAGCCAUUCGAAUAUCGAUAUUUGGAAGGACCUUGCUGAACUUCAUACCAAAAAACAAAUUAUUCUAUCAUAAACUCCGUUCCAAAACAACUUUCAAGGGCUUGAUAGCGCCAUGCGUCUGUUACUACCAGGUAAUGAUGAAGCCAUGGAUUUAUUCAUGAAAACCAUGACUUCAUCAUUACCUAGUAGUAAUAGAUGGAUGAUGCUAUGAAGUUUUACAAAGUUGUUUUGUAACGGAAUCCCGAAUAGGAUAAUUAGCUUUUUGAUACGCAGUUCAAAAAGAGCCAAUCGAAUAUCCCUAUUUGGAAGGACUUUGCCAAACUUCAUACCAAAAAACGAAUUAUUCUAUCAGGAACUCCGUUCCAAAACAACUUUCGAGAGCUUGAUAGCGCCAUGCGUAUGUUACUACAAGGUAAUGAUGAAGCCAUGUAUUUCUACAAGAAAACCAUGACUUCAUCAUUACCUAGUAGUAAUAGACGCAUGAUGCUAUGAAGCUUUACAAAGUUGUUUUGAAACGGAAUCCCGAAUAGGAUAGUUAGCUUUUUGGUACGCAGUUCAAAAAGAACCAUCCGAAUAUCACUAUUUGGAAGGACUUUGCUGAACUUCGUACCAAAAAACGAUUUAUUCUAUCAGGAACUCCGUUCCAAAACAACUUUCAAGAGCUUGAUAGCGCCAUGCGUCUGUUAGUACCAGGUAAUGAUGAAGCCAUGGAUUUCUUCAAUACUUUGACAGACAACAACGUCACAUAUAGAAUCUAGCUAGCUAGGUUACAUAAAUGAGACCAAAAAAAGAUUGAAUCAACUUGUGCACAUACAUAAUGGGGCACUCUUGACAAAUCCAUUAUUAACACUAACAAUGUUGUUUUCUCUAGCUUAACCUACAUCUAAAAGAAAAUUCACUUAAACAUAUACAAUCUACAAUCUACAAAUAUUCUACAAUUUACAAAUAUCACUUAAAUCACUACAAAUAUCAUUUAAGCAUAUGCUUAAGUGAUAUUUUUAGUGAUUUAAGUGAUAUUUGUAGAUUGUAGAUUUGUAUAUGCUUAAACACUAACUGUGACCUAAACUAAAAGGCCCUAAACUAAAUUACUUAACAUAAAAGAAACAUGCAUACUUAACCCUAAACUAACAAUAACAUAUUAAUUAACACUAACUGUGACCGACAAAUAACACAAAUAACCUAUUUAACACUAACCUACCUAACCCUAAAUUCACGAAAUAUUCUACAAAUAACAGUUAAGCAUAUACAAUAGCAAAAUUAAGCAAUAAUCUACAAAACACUAAUUAGGAAUCUAUAUACGUACAAAACAAUUAAGCACAUAAGCAUGUCGACGAUCGAGAGAGGAGAGGAGAGAGGCUCACCGGCCACAUGGGAUGUUGGAUAGAGGAGGGCGUCAGAGGCGGGGAGGAGCGCGACACCAGCGCCGGGGAGGAGGGCGCGUGAGGAGGUCCGGCGCCGGCGAGCAUGACGGUAGCAGGGUGUCGACGACGGGGAGGAGGGCGCGCGAGGAGGUCCAACGCCGAUAGGAGGACGGAAGGGCGACAACGAUGGCGAGUAGGACGACAGGGCGACGGCGACAGCGCGCAGCCUGGCGGCGUCGAGUAGUUCGUCCGGUGCUGCAGGCGAGCGAGAGGAGGAAGAAAGAUCGAACCGGCGAUUUGGGUUGGACAUUUCCAACUCCCGCUUAUAUAGGUAGAGCUUUAGACCCUUUUUCGGCAGCCCAAAAGGUGGGAAGCACGGGCCUUUAGUCCCGGGUCGUGGCUCCACCUGGGACUAAAGGGGUCUUUAGUCCCGGUUCGAGCCCCGACCCGGGAGUAAAUGCCUGGCUGGCUCCGGCGCGGCGUAGGGCAAUCUUUAGUCCCACCUCGCCGAGCGAGGAGCGCUGAGAGUGCUUUAGAAGCACUACCGCACCAGCUCAUUUGAGCUUCUCUCUAUUGCAGGCCUGUGGGCCUAACUCUCCUCUCGUUGCCUAUUGAGCCCCGCGAGCCUGCAUCCUGGCCCACAUGUCAGUUAGGUUUCUAGUCGUAUGGAGGCCGUGAUGGACCAAUAGGCGGCAUUUUUUUACUUUAAUAAUUUUUAGUCCUAGUUUAUAUUUUAAUUCUUUGCAAUUAAAGAUUUUCUUCUCUUUUAUUUUAGUUUUCCAUUUAAGAUUUUAACAAAAAAACUUUAUGAAGAUUGUUUUGAGUUGAUAUUUUUUGUUUCUUUUUAGUUAAUGUUUUACUUGAUUCUUUUGACAAAUAAAACAGUUUGAUAAUUUUAGUUCAUUAUUUUUAGUUAAUAUUUUAGUUGAUUCUUUUUAGUUGACAUCAUAAAUUUUCAACAAUUUCUCACUUCAUUUGAUAUUUUUCAUGCAUUUAAUUAUUUGUUUUUGAGCUAAUUGACCCUGAAAUUGAAAAGCACUACAAAUUAACUCUGAAAAUGUUGAAAGUUGGCAUGGUAUCAUCAUUUCACCCACAUAGGAUGUGCUAAAAAGUUGAGAGGUUUGCAACAAAAUCUAGAUGCACUUCGUGUACAAAACGGACAAUCUCUUUCGAAGUAUUAGGGUUUGGAACGAGAACUCAUUUGUUACAAAUGGAUUUCACUUUUUUUAAACUUAUUUGAACUCCAUACUUUUUGUGUGUUCAAAGUGCACCAUUCAAAGGCACAUCACAAAUUUUCAAUAAUUUCCGACUUCAUUUGGUAUUUUUCGUGCAUUUACUUAUUUGUUUUUGAGCUAAUUGACCCUGAAAUUGAAAAAGCACUAUAAAUGAACUCUGAGAAUGUUGAAAGUUGGCAUGGUAUCAUCAUUUCACUCACAUAGCAUGUGCUAAAAAGUUUAGAGGGUUAGGACAAAAACUGGAUGCACUUCGUGUAUAAAACGGAGAAUCUCUUUCGAAGUAUCAGAGUUUCGAAUGAGAACUCAUCUGUUACAAAGGGAUUUCAUUUUUUGAACUGAUUUAAACUCCAUACUUUUUGUAUGUUCAAAAUGCACCAUUCAAAGUCACAUCACAAAUUUUCAACAAUUUCUUUCGAAGAAUCAUCAGUACACAUCACAUAAAGUUUAAUACAUUAGUACACAUCACAUAAAGUUUAAAACAUUACAUAGAUUUAUAUUUCGAUCCCUUGCCUAUGAUCGCUUUGGCUGUAACCAUGGAUCAUCUUCAUUAUUUAACGUGAUGCUUGGGUCAAUUCUCACUAUGAAGGGCGGAAUUUCAUCAAACUUAUUAUAAUCUGCUGACAUGUCUGUCUUGUCCUUGAUCUCCAUGAUGUUUCUUUUCCUUGAAAAAACUAUGUGACGCUUUCUCUCAUCGUCCGAUGUAUUCAUUUUCUUGUUUUAUUUCAGUCUGGAGGACAUGUCUUUUAUGUAGAAAACCUGAGCCACAUCAUUGGCUAGGACGAAUGGCUCAUCUCUGUAACCAAGAUAGUUGAGAUCAACUGUUGUCAUUCCGUACAACUGGUCUACCUUUACCGCUUCUCCAUUCAUGUUCACCCAACUACACCGAAACAAAGGGACCUUUAAAGUAGGUCCGUAGUCAAGUUCCCAUAUCUCCUCUAUGUAACCAUAGUAUGUGUCCUUUUUCCCAUUCUCGUCUGUCACAUCAUAGCGGACACCACUGCUUUGGUUGGUGCUCUUUUUAUCUUGGGCGGUCAUGUAAAAUGUAUUCUCGUUUAUCUCGUAUCCUUGGAAAUGUAGUAUAGUCGAAGAAGGUGACGCGACCAACAAGUAGAGUUGAUCUCCAACAAUGUUGUCAUUAAUGAGACGUGCUCGCAACCAAGUGCCAAAAGUAUCCAUGUGUUUUUCUUCAAUCUAGGAGAUAGCCUUCCCUGGGAACUUUUUAGAACUGUGUAGUGUGCUUGAGUGAAAGAAUGCCCGUACCUACAUAUCACUGCUUUCUUGCCUAGUGUGUCUU